UAAAUGUAAUUCCAAUAAACUCGUCACGUUUGUCUUGAUAGCCCUAUCACUGAUGAGCCGGUUCUUAAUAAUGUGGGAAGCUUUGCAGUUCUAGAUACGUUUUGAAUCUUUGAAACUGUAACUACACGAAAAUUAAACCGGGUUUUCUUUGAUUGCCAGUGGCAAUUCAGACAAAGGAGCUUCUGUGGAAACUACGGCUCACCCACUUUUUAGCUGGAGGUUGUUGAUGGCGAUUCCGUCAUUUGGUAGUGUUUCAAAACUAUAGCAAUCUCCUUGCUGCUUCCAUCGGCCACUGCAGAGCCAUCAGUCUUUAUGUUCAAAACCUUAGGGAAAUUUAAAACCACUUAAAAUGUGACAGAUUGAUUAUCAUAUGGGAAUUUGAGAAAACGUAGAAUACAGACGUGGAAGUAGGCCCACGAUGAGUCCGAAGGCAUCAAAGAGAAGGAAGUUUAAUGAACCACAAGCAAAACCGCGAGGUUUUUUAGAAAGUUAGGGUAAGUUAAGAAAUAUCAAAUAACUUUUAAAACUUGCUUCUUCCAGCAAAUUCCGACAGAUUGAUACAGAAUUUCCAGUACCCAGUACCCUGUCAGUGGUUGUUUCGACUUUUGUAUCUGCCGUCAUCUUAAAGCAAUGACCCAUUGCCAUAAAAAUGACCCUUCGACACUGGAGUAGAGUGUGUUCUUUCUUGGGGUUACAGUGUAGAAUUUAAACGGUAUUCAGGCAUCGUGUGUUGAGUACUUGAUUCUUUGAAAGCAAUCUGAGGUGGACAAAUGCGUUGCGCUGUUCCGAUAGAUAAUAACGGAUGGGAGGUAACCAGAGAGGUGUUCAUCAAGGGGGCAGUUCUGUGGGAAUUGUUUGUCAGUAGGAACUGUGUCGGAAGCUGUCAACAGUCACGAGUCUACAUCAUAUACAGAGGCUUGGCGAUUCUGAAGCAAUCCUUACACCCAGUGUUAAUUAUGCCCCAUUCUCGGUACUGGCAAGAAAAGAUGUCCUCAUUAACGCAGUUCUGUACUACUUGCUCAAUUCUAUGAUAGAUUUGUGCCAGAAGAUGAUAUUAUCAUUAGUUUCGAAUGCAACAAACCGAGCUUAUGCUCGCAUGUGCUUCAGGAGAGAACCUCAUCAACUUUCAAGUACUACGAUCCGUUGUUAGUUGAUCAGAGGCUGCAAGCAGUUCUGUGAAGACUUAUUUGAGUUUGUAAGAGAAUUGUUUCUGUACAUAACAGAAAAAGCGGGCUCCAACAAUGAUCCCUUAUAUACGCAACAUUCUAUUAAAAAAUACCAAGAAGAAGCAAUAAUAGCAAUGGAGACAUACUGUUUUUUAGUAGUAGCCUGAGGCUUUUGGUACACGCGUACACAAUAACAGAAGAUACACAGCUUAAUGAGAGAGUGACUCUUCCAUCUGUAGCCUUCGAAUGAGCUGGAUCUCCAUGGAAUCUCCUGUUUGCAUUUGACCCAAGCACGUAAAAUCACCUAUAUCGGUCCCCGGCUCAAUGCCAAAGUUGAUGAGGCUUCAACAUCAACAACUUGUUCAUGAGGUUCAACAUCAACUUGUUCUAUCUGAAAGACAGUGGAAUCGAGGAGAAGAAAUCGUUCGUUCAGUCCCUCCACUGCGCUCUCGCUUCAAAAAUGCGGCGAUGCAUAUUCUCUGAGAAUAUUAGCUUAAGUUUCUUUGCGCUCGUACAUUACCUGAAUCUGAACACACGCAGAUUCUGAACUAGCCAUCAAAUAGGUAUGAGGAUUCAGAUUAACCACUGUAGAAAGAACAUGAAAGUUUUUCCUAUCUUCUUCUGAAACAAAUAUGAAAGUGAGAUGUAUCAAUCUUGUUGAAUAUGGAAACAAGAUAGAAUAAUACUAUCUAAGCUCUAAUACCUCGUGAUAAUGAUAGGGAAAGUAUAAGAGUAGAAGAUAUGUUAUAUGGAGUGACUUCAUCUAUUUUAUUAUGUCUCAAGUAGAAGAUGGAUGACAAUGCCAUUAUUACAAACUCUCUUGUUUCAAUGCAUUGUCAUUCUUAUUCUCAUAUCUAACAUUUGUUUAGUCAAUUAAGAACUAUUCCACCAUUUUAGAAGUAUAUUUCAUUGGUUUUGAUUACUUUAAAGUCAUGUUUUUUUAUUAUAUUUAUAUUACAAAUAAGUAUCUAUUUUAUUUUUAAAAUUUUGAAAAUAAAUAAAUAAAUAAAUAAAUAGUAUGGGAGAUGGCAUACUUUUACAA
Non-coding RNA from Physcomitrium patens, 2208 nucleotides. The record is from RefSeq and is a predicted model, not a curated record. NCBI's taxonomy places the organism in Eukaryota, Viridiplantae, Streptophyta, Bryopsida, Funariales, Funariaceae.